This is a long non-coding RNA of Chrysemys picta bellii (western painted turtle), 1979 nucleotides long. The record is from Ensembl. NCBI's taxonomy places the organism in Eukaryota, Metazoa, Chordata, Testudines, Emydidae.
CUGGCACUUCGCUCCCCUUGCGGCUGUUGGAUUGUCUGGUGAGGGAGUGUUACCUUGUUCUCAGUGCGGGUGAGAUGGAACAUCUAGCCUUCACCUUGCAAUCCUUUUGGACUCGCCCAGUGCAAGUAUGAAGAACAAUGUUGUCAAUGUAUCAUUUGCAUGUUUAUAAGACAAGUCUCCUUUGCUUGUGCAUCAGCCCCAUCGCUUGAUGACCAUGUAGCUCUGGCAGUUGCGUUUCAGUCUGGGGAACGCUUUGUUUCUUCGCCCUGGUCCUUACAGAAAUAGUGGCUUUCAAAAUGACAGUGGAAUUCUUGUGAUUGUCCCUUCUAAUAACAUCAUGUCCACUUCACUGGGAUGUUUGCCAAAGAACACAUUCAGUGCAAUGCGCUCAGACUACUUCACGCUGUGGCUCGAUGCCCAACCUUCCCUCGGAUAAAUGAGUGCACAUUGCCCUGUGUCUCACCCAUGGAAACAGUUGCUCUGUUAACACACCAGGAUGCAGACAAAGGAUCUGAGACAUGGUGGUGGGCAUUUUGUCAGUGGCUUGCUGCCCUCAGAAGACAGCAGCAGUCAGUCUUGGUGAGGAGAUCACGCAUACUGGAUAUUACCAUGGCUGAGUGGAGACAGGUGAGUAGUUGCAAUUGCUGUGGAUUCCCCCUAUGCUGACUGGAAAUUCUGGCACAGGAUCACAAGCACCGUGUGGUGGGACUACAUCAUCAAGCAGACCUGGGAUGACCAGCAGUGGCUCCAGAACUCUUGCAUGAGGAAGGCCACCUUCAUGGAGCGGUGUGAGAAGCUUGCCCUCACCCUUCAGUGUUAGGACACACAGAUGAGGGAGGCCAGACCAGUCCAGAAGCAGGUUGCUAUUGCCAUCUGUACUCUGGCUACCCCGGACUGCUAUUGGUCAGUGACAAACCACUUUGGUGUUGGCAAGUCAGCUGUUGGUGCAGUGGUGGUGGAGGUUUGUGAAGUGAUUAUUGAUUAUUGACAUUUGUUCCUGAAAUAAUAGUUGGCUUUGAGAGAAUGGGGUUCCCCAGCUGCCUUGUGACCACUUAAUUCCCUCCAAAUAAUAUGCUUAUUAAUGGGGUUUCGAUGCCCACUGUUAUUUUAGAGAACCCAACCUAUCCUCUACUGUCCUAUCUUAUGAAACCCUACCCUGAUGUCAGAGCACCUGUCAGAAGAAAGUUUAAUUACUUAAUUUAAUCCUGAGCAGUUUCAGGAAGGUGGUAAAAUGUUUAUUUGGCUGACUGGUGGCAAGAUGGCACUGCCUACAAACCUGUUCAGAUGCUAAUGUGCCCACUGUCAUUCUUAUUAUUGAGGCAUGCUGCACACUACACAGCAAUUGUGAGGAUAAAUAGGAGAGCUUUCACCAGGAAUGGGCUCAAGACAUGGCUGGCUUGAAGGCCUGAUACAGGCAGGGCCGGCUCCAGCAUUUCUGCCACCCCAAGCCAAAAAAAAAAAAAAAGCUGCGAUCACGAUCGGCGGAGGCAAUUGGAAAAAAAAAGCCACGAUUGGCGGCGGCAGUUCAGCGGCAGGUCCUUCGCUCCUAGAGGUCCUUCGCUCUGCCUCUCCCGAAUUGCCGCAGGUGCCGCCCCUCUCCUUUGGCCGCCCCAAGCACCUGCUUGUUAAGCUGGUGCCUGGAGCCAGCCCUGGAUACAGGUAACCAGAAACCUGUCAUUACUUGGGAUGGAUCCAGGAGAGCAAAGGAAGUAAGGGAUGUCCUGUGUGCCCACAUCCUUGUGUUGCAGGGAGAGAUGCAUGGGAAAUCUGGCACAAUGUGGUGUUUUAGUACACACACUAAUUUAUCAAUUUGUUAUUGCUUUUAUGUGAUUCUGAAUGACCUAUUAAAAUCUUUGGAUAAAUCUUUCUGCCUUUUCCUUCCCUCCAAAGCACUUGCAUAUCGAUGUAGUGUAGAACCAAGCACUUUAUUAUAAAAAUUAUAUAGUAUUAAAGUAAUAAAUAAAAUACAGCAGGAACCA